This is a long non-coding RNA of Corylus avellana, 1009 nucleotides long. RefSeq lists it as uncharacterized. The record is from RefSeq and is a predicted model, not a curated record. Lineage: Eukaryota; Viridiplantae; Streptophyta; Magnoliopsida; Fagales; Betulaceae.
CAAAAUUUUCAUAAUGUUUCAAGAUUCCACGGAAAUGAUUCAUGUAAUGGAAGUUCUACCUUCAAGUUAAAAUCAAAGCCUUACUAUUUGAGAGAGGGAAAGAAAAUAGGUAGUUUAAGUGCAAUGACCUGGUAUUAUAGGCCCAAGGGCACAAGAGAAAGACAGAAGGCCUUUAAUUAGAGGCUCCAUCUUUCCCAAAAUGAACUUAUAAAGAGAAAUCAGGAGGUGGAACAGGUCCAACUCAUAAACUCUAAGGACAAAGAAGACAUUGAAGAGAAUGAUGGUAACCAAUCAAUAUAAAUUUUAUUCAUUACAGAUUGAUAUACCAUGAUAAACUAACAAUAAUUCUCUCUAGUAUAGGACAAAAUAUGAAGGUGAUUUAUACAUGUUUUCCUUAUUCUAAGAACCAAACAUGUGGACAUCCUUAUCAGUGUCCACGUUUCUAGAAGGAUUCUCUUGGGAGGGCCCCAAAUGAAGAAAAAAAUUGGAAAAGGUCAACAGACAUGCCAUAAAAGAUCCCCACCACCACCACCACCUCCAGACAGUCCACAAUUACCUACCUCAGUUUCUCCCAUUCCAAAACUGUCUUCUUCUUCUACCCAUCAUCUACAAAGUCUCUAGCGUGCUUCCUCUCACAUCAUUACCCAUUAGUUCAACUACUCUUUUGUAGCUGUACCGCACUAUAAUAUUGCUCCACAUCAUCUGCCACCUAUGGCUUCCUAUCUGUCCCCAUAUGGGUGUAGAAGAUGCAGACCCAGUGGUGGAACAUUAAGAAUUUAAAUCUAUUAUCAACUAUAAUAUUGUUUGUAGUCUAAACCAAAAAAAAAAUAAAAAAUACCCUAUAUGCUUUUCUCCACCCAGGACUGUACAAUGAUUCAAUUUAUGUUCCUUCUCUUUCUAGCAUAUUAAAAAAUGGUUUUGAAUGGUGGAGUGAUCAGAGGGUGUAAACAGGAGGUAUAUACGCACCCCCCAGUCUUCUAGAAAUGCUCCUUGUGGAAUUCAAACUUGG